This 351-nucleotide unclassified non-coding RNA is filed under the name soil metagenome. Its description in RNAcentral is "partial contains 5.8S ribosomal RNA, internal transcribed spacer 2, and large subunit ribosomal RNA". The stretch from base 1 to 120 matches the Rfam family "5.8S ribosomal RNA", at positions 35 to 154 of the family's 154-position model. The record is from RNAcentral.
GAUGAAGAACGUAGCGAAAUGCGAUAAGUAGUGUGAAUUGCAGAAUUCAGUGAAUCAUCGAAUCUUUGAACGCACAUGGCGCCUUCCAGUAUCCUGGGAGGCAUGCCUGUCCGAGCGUCGUUUCAACCCUCGAGCCCCCGUGGCCCGGCGUUGGGGAUCUGCCACGGCAGGCCCCUAAAACCAGUGGCGGACCCGAAGGCCCUCUCCUUUGCGCAGUAGCAUCAGCCUCGCAUUGGGAUCCCUCGGCGUCCUGCCUCUAAACCCCCCACAAGUCCGCUCCGGCGGCACCAAGGUUGACCUCGGAUCAGGUAGGAAUACCCGCUGAACUUAAGAAUAUCAAUAAGCGGAGGA